GACCAGACUCCUACGGGAGGCAGCAGUGGGGAAUAUUGCACAAUGGGCGCAAGCCUGAUGCAGCCAUGCCGCGUGUAUGAAGAAGGCCUUCGGGUUGUAAAGUACUUUCAGUCGGGAGGAAGGUGUCAAGGUUAAUAACCUUGGCAAUUGACGUUACCGACAGAAGAAGCACCGGCUAACUCCGUGCCAGCAGCCGCGGUAAUACGGAGGGUGCAAGCGUUAAUCGGAAUUACUGGGCGUAAAGCGCACGCGGGCGGUUUGUUAAGUCAGAUGUGAAAUCCCCGGGCUCAAUCUGGGAACUGCAUCUGAUACUGGCAAGCUUGAGUCUCGUAGAGGGGGGUAGAAUUCCAGGUGUAGCGGUGAAAUGCGUAGAGAUCUGGAGGAAUACCGGUGGCGAAGGCGGCCCCCUGGACGAAGACUGACGCUCAGGGGCGAAAGCGUGGGGAGCAAACAGGAUUAGAUACCCCGGUACGU
This 474-nucleotide ribosomal RNA is filed under the name uncultured bacterium. RNAcentral describes it as "bacterial SSU rRNA". It matches the Rfam family "Bacterial small subunit ribosomal RNA", at positions 329 to 794 of the family's 1533-position model. The record is from RNAcentral.